This 257-nucleotide ribosomal RNA is filed under the name uncultured bacterium. RNAcentral's name for it is "partial 16S ribosomal RNA". It matches the Rfam family "Bacterial small subunit ribosomal RNA", at positions 524 to 779 of the family's 1533-position model. The record is from RNAcentral.
UACGAAGGGUGCAAGCGUUAAUCGGAAUUACUGGGCGUAAAGCGUGCGUAGGCGGUUUGUUAAGUCUGCUGUGAAAUCCCCGGGCUCAACCUGGGAAUGGCAGUGGAUACUGGCAAGCUAGAGUGUGUCAGAGGAUGGUGGAAUUCCCGGUGUAGCGGUGAAAUGCGUAGAGAUCGGGAGGAACACCGAUGGCGAAGGCAGCCCCCUGGGUCAAGAUUGACGCUCAUGCACGAAAGCGUGGGGAGCAAACGAGGAUU